AGGGGCGGGAAGGUGGCGGCCGGUACAUGGCGGAGCGGUUCCCUCUGUACCCGGUGCGCAGCGCGGCCGCCGUGGCCAACCGCAAACGCGCGGCCGACUCCAGCGCGGCCGGGCCUGGGCCGGGGGCCGAACGGCCCAGCAGAAGACAGCUGUUCUGGGCGUCCUAAUCUGCAGAGCGGUGUAGACCUCUAGUCGCUCUCCUUACAGGAGUUAACAGUUGUAGUUAUCUCGAAGCAGGCUGCCUUCUGUGUCCCAGCUCCAGUUCCAGAAUUCCCAUGGAUAGUUGUGGCUUAGCUUGGGUGACUGGCAGUCCUUCCUGAGCUGUGCGCUGCCCCACCUACCUUCCCUACCUUCCCGUACGCAGCGGUCAUUCCACACGCACCCUGCCCCUCUACCUGGAUGCAGCCCCUACAGCCUGAGCUCAGUCGGCACCUUCCAAGGGCUAGGUGACUGUCUCGCCAGUAGCCACUGCUAUCAUUUAAGAUUUCCUGAUUUUAUUUAUUUACUUGAGAGAGAAUGAGAGAUGGAG
This is a non-coding RNA of Callorhinus ursinus (northern fur seal), 529 nucleotides long. The record is from RefSeq and is a predicted model, not a curated record. NCBI's taxonomy places the organism in Eukaryota, Metazoa, Chordata, Mammalia, Carnivora, Otariidae.